GAAUCAGUACGCUGGUCGUGCCUUCGGUAUGUACUGGUGUCACUGGUUUCUCCCUUCUGAAGAACCAUCAUGCCAUUCACUUGGUGUGGUGGGAAAUCAGGACUGUUACUUUGAAUAAAUUAGAGUGUUCCAAGCAGGCAAGCUUUGCCUUGAAUACAUUAGCAUGGGAUAAUGGAAUAG
RNAcentral lists this ribosomal RNA (180 nucleotides) under uncultured Glomeromycotina. RNAcentral describes it as "partial small subunit ribosomal RNA". The record is from RNAcentral. Lineage: Eukaryota; Fungi; Glomeromycota.